AUACUUACCUGGCGUAGGAAUACCGUGAUUAGGCGGUUCUCCCAGGGUGAGGCUGCUCCAUUUCACUGCGGCGUGGUUGACCCUUGCGAUUAUUUUUAUUUUUCAUAAGAUUCACUUCUACGUUUUUUACAUUCUUUUUUUUUAUUUAUGAAUUUUCAAGUU
Bombyx mandarina (wild silkworm) is the source of this 162-nucleotide small nuclear RNA. Lineage: Eukaryota; Metazoa; Arthropoda; Insecta; Lepidoptera; Bombycidae. The record is from RefSeq and is a predicted model, not a curated record.